Papaver somniferum (opium poppy) is the source of this 424-nucleotide long non-coding RNA. RefSeq lists it as uncharacterized. The transcript is spliced from 2 exons. NCBI's taxonomy places the organism in Eukaryota, Viridiplantae, Streptophyta, Magnoliopsida, Ranunculales, Papaveraceae. The record is from RefSeq and is a predicted model, not a curated record.
UAAACACCAUCACUAAAGUUAGCAACUAGGAAGAGUGGUGAGAGGAAUAAAAUUUAUCCUCAUAACUUUGAUGUUGUAGUUCAUGGAAUGGAAGAUUCUGAUCAUGUUCAUGUUUUAACCAGUAUGUACCUGAAUGGACGCGAGUCAAGAUCGUCCUGCAUAAUUAUUUUUUAUUAACAUAAUAGGAUCUCUUGUCACUUAUUUUGGUUAUUUCAAAAACAAACAAACAAAAAAAAAAUCUAAAGUUUGAUCUUCACACAUUUGGGGCAUACUCUAGAGUAAUUACCAAAAAAAAAAUUGGAUAAGGAGUUUUCAAAUUACUUCAUAAUGUUUUCUUUUUGUAUCUCCCAAUUUGUGGUGGUAUCCUCCAAUUGUGGGUUCUAAUUAAACUAUAGUAAUUUAUAUAGACCAAAAAUUCACUUUU